UUAAGGCAUGUGGACUUCAACUCCCAGAAUUCCACAGCCAGCAUUGCUGGCUGUGGAUUUCUGGGAGUUGAAAUCCACAUGCCUUAAAAUUGUCAAGGUUGAGAAACACUCUUCUAGAACAUGGCAUUCCUUUCUCAAACUCCCUGUUCUACAGUUACAAAUCAUUAACUUUCUUACACGCAAAGCAUAUACAUUUAUGAAAAUCAAAGCUGUAAACAUGGCAGUUAUGCUUCUCAUGAAUUCCACUCAUCUCUUAUAAUGCAUUUUACACAUACAAAGGCAGAUGGGGCUAAUAUUACUUUUAAUAGACAGACUGAAAAACAAGCUUUUGCUUGCAAUUUCUUCCUCUUAAUUAGCACAUGUGAUAAGUAAAACAGUAAGUUAACCAGGAAUUAAUUGAAGAAACCAGCUGACUAAAGUUGGGACUGAUUAAAUUAUCUACCGGACUGUCCUUGCAGCAUUGACAAACGAAUUACAGACAAGAAAACAUAUUUGACCAAGACACUAACACAAGAUUUUUCAAAACAGAACUCUUGACCCAUUGCUUGUGGGGAAAGAAUAAGAAAAGGAAGGAAAAGGAGAAAAAGAUUUCUCUCCACAUUGCCUUGCUAGUCAGGCAAGCCAAGGUGAAAAGAUUAUUCCUCAAAGCUUGGUUUUCAUAAAGAGAUUUAGAGGGAAGAAAUGUUUAGCAGUUGCAAAAAGGUCAGAAUAGGCUGCAAAGUGGAGAGGGAUUAAAGAGUCUCCCCCUCCCCUUUUUUUCUCAGCCUUCAGCUUUUACUUGGAGGCUGGUAAAUGCAGGUAAACUGAAGAAACAGACAGAAAUAUAUUGCUUUCUAUGCACUAUUUUCAUAGAUCAUCAAAACAGCAUAAUUAAGCCAUUUUUUAAACUUUUCUUACUUUAAACAUAAAAUCUCAAUAUGCAUACCUAUACAAUGAUAGUAAAAUAGUCUUUCAAUUUAAACUCCAGGAAACAUACAUAAACUCAAUAACUUAACUUUUCAAGAAAAUAGCUCUUUUAAGGCUUUUUUGUUUUUUCUUUUAUUACAAUUGAAAGUUGUUUUGCCAGAUUAAAUUAAACUACUAGUCUCAUCCCAUAUCUUAGUCCACAUUUUUUUAUAUAAAUCCUGUGCAUUUUACUUUUUCAUUCCUGUCUAAACCAGGGAUCCACCCGCCUAAAUCCAGGUGUCCAGCAACCUUCCUAAUGGAGAGGGUGGGGAAACAUGCAAAGCUGAAGUUUCCUAUUUUCUUGUCCCUACCUUACAUGUGUGUCCCAAUCGGUUUGGGAUGUACGUGUAUAUCCAGGAGAUGACCUAAGUGAGGUACGUAGCUCUCCGAUCUUUACCCGCUGUUCAGUUUUCAAGCCUUUCACGUGGGAAGACUGUUAUAUUUGGAGCAGUAUGGGCACUUCUUCCCAUCGUUUUUUUUUUUUUUUUUUUUGAAUAAAACUCCUCACUCAGGAGCUCCUUUUUAUUAAAAAGGUACGGGUCCCUCCAUAUAUAUAUAAAUCACAGUAGGUUGUGUGUGGAAAAAUAUAUAUAUCCACUUUCCUAACUACCCCUCAAAUUCUUGUGAGCUUUACCUGGUGGUGACUAAGAGACUUUGGAUACUAAGGAGGAUUGGCACUCCAAAGGCUGUAAAUCACAGUAGGUUGGUGUGGAAAAAUAGACUUGGAAAAUAUAAACUGUUUUUCUCCAAAAGUAAGCCCUCUCCCAAAAGUAAGCCUCAGCUAGUUUUCGGGGGGUGAGUCUAAUAUAAGCCCUCCUCCAAAAGUAAGCCCUACUUAAGAGCCUGCGCAGAUGGCUGGUCACUGAUUAUACCUGGUUUCACCAUAGACACAAGGUAAGCGGGGGAGACACAAGAUAAGUGGGGGGAGCUUCUAGUGCCUCUGCAACGAGGCAAAGUUGAUGGGGGAGCGGGGAUCUGACCCAUGGUAUACUGGUUCUCUACUGCUGCCUGGCUUCUUGCCGCCUCGCGCAUCACACCCGAUGCCCCAGCCAUCAGGCCGUGGAACAAGCCGGGUGGUGGUAAGGAACCAGUAUACCGGCACAUGGGUCAGAUGGGAGGAAUCUGCCAAGCCUCAUGGCAGUGGCAUUGAACACAAUGUCUGAGGCAGCAGAUGGCUGGCGGCAGUGGAAAUCGGCUACGGAACAAGCUGGGUGGUGGUAACGAAGAUUUUAAGGGACUGCUGUAAUAUUUUGCCCUCCCACCAGACAAGAUGUGUUCAAAAUGAAAGAGCUAUUCUAUCGAGUUCAAGAAAGGUAUCAUGGAGGACUCUCAGGGCAAGAAUCUUAUAGCUUUCUGCAAAGAGAACAAGUUGGAUCUCCGUAUGGUUGAAAAUGGCGAGCAGAGUACAGUAACUUCAGCCAACAGGUGGAUGGGGGAAAUGCCAAGAAGCGAAAGUGUGGAGCAGCCAUUAUUUCCUCAUCAAUCUACAUUCCUUCCCCUCGUUAUGAAAGGGCAUGUGUUACCUGCAUGUUGGCAAAUCGUUCUGGAUGAAACAAAAGCCCCACCUCUAAUCCUUUCUAAGGCAAGAGAGAUAAAAUUGAACAUGUUUCAGGGAUUUAUGUUCUUGAAACUGAAAAAGCCUGGUGCACACAAGCUGUGAUAAGGAAGUGGGUUGAUUUAAUGCUGCCACUUAUUUUGUGAGGCGGGCAAAGAGGUCUGCUGGUUUGGGAUUCAGCCAGCACUCACCGUGCAAAAGAUAUGAAGUUUCUUGCAGAGAGAGGAAUUGACCAAAUAAUGAUUCCUGCAAGAAGGGCUGCCUAUCUCCAGAUUCUGGAUAUUGCCAUAAACAAGCCAUUCAAGAACUUGCACAGGGAAAUCAGUGACUACAUUGAACACAGAAUGGAGAGAAAUCAGCAUGGGAACUUUGUGAAGCCUAGCCUGCCAGAGGUCGUGACUUGGGCGAAGCAUUCGUGGGAUAAAAUCACUGGCAGCUGUGUUGCCAAUGCACUACAAGCAGGCUACAUGGACGAGAAGUGUUCAUUUAGGGAGACCGCGAUUGCUGGACAUGAGAGAUUGGAGCCAAUGGUUCUAAAGGAACUGGAGUCGCAAGAGGUGAAGGCUGGAAUUUGGGGUUUGGGAGAGUGUGAAGAUGUUUCAGAAAAUGACAUGACUGUUUUUGAAUAAACUGAAUAAAUAAAUGGUUGCUGUACAUCACCACUGUGGUUGUGGGUGCCCUGGGUGGAGUGUGGGUUAGGGUUGGGGUUAGGCAUUGAGGGUUAGAGAUGGGAAGGCCUGGAAAAAACCCGGAAAACUGCUUUGGAAACAAAUGGGAAAAACCGUUUCUUCCCCACUCAACUUUUCCUGUUUUUUUCCCCAGGGCUUCCUCAAUUUCUUUUUAUAGGUCUUGAAACAAGAAACAAGACCUUCCCUUCCAAGGAAGAAAAAUGGCUGACCAUGGCAGUAGGAUUUGUCCUUCCAUUUCUGGGAGAGAAAUAGACAUGUUUCAAUUGAUGGCUGUCUACUUCGGGAAGUCAAAAUUGAGAAUGUCAUCUCUUUAUCCUCAGGUUUGGUUGUACAAGUUCUAGUUCUUUUAUUAUUUUUUUUGCCAGGGCCUGUCUAUUUUGACAGUGAUGAUAAAAGGGACUAUGAGGAGCUAAAAAAGAAAUAUGAAAAAUACCAGAAAGCAAUCAACAGAGUGAAUACAGUAAGUAUCUUAUGUGAUAGUAAGAAAUGACUAGUUUAAAUUUCAGCAUUGGUGGGUUAAUAUGUGAUGUCUUUUGGGAAUAUUGUUUAACAGCACAAGUGUUUUUCCAUAAAAAUACAGAACAGAAGCAGAUAGAAGAGGUGACAUCCUCACAGGAGGAGCUGGCAGAAAAAGAUCCACCAUAAGAGCUGUAAGUCAUUCAUUUCCCUUACAAUCCUGAUUUAAGCCCCUCUUUUUGUCUGCGUAUCUAUAUUUGAUGACUGAUGCAUGCUUCCUUUAAUUUCUGCAUCUUAGUUGGAAGAGGAGAACGAGCGCUUAGCCAGCGAACUGGUCCAGCUUCUGAAGCAGAAUGAGGAACUGAAGCACUUAAUAAAUCUUGAUCCAGAAAGUGAGUAUUAUUUUAACUUAACAACAUUGUAAUUGUUUUCAUUUUAAAAACAAAAAUGAUGUAUUCAUCUUGGCUGUAUGAGUUCUAGUUCUUUUGGGUAUUUUUUUUGCCAGGAAAUGCUGACAGAGAGAAGAGGGAGGUUGAGGAAUUAAAGGAGAAAUACGACAAGUACCAGAAGGCAAUCAGCAGAGUCAACACUGUAAGAAUCUUACAUGAUAGUCAUAAGUUAGAACAACCUCUGUAAGCAAGAUUUUAUAAUGUAUUAAUUGUACUUGCUCAAUUUCUUUUAACAGGAGGUCUCAAGAGAGAGGGAGAGGAGAAGAGACCUCAUGAGAGCUCGGGACCGGGCAAUCGAUGCCAUCUGCUCCCAGCUGCUGUCUAUACCUUACUCGGAGAGAAAAUUGUUGCCUCUGCAAGAAGCAAAUAGGAGGAGACAGAUGAUUACGUCAAGAAGUAUCUAGGUGUGAAGUGCAAGAAGGUCACUUGGUAUCGUGGUCAAGAAAGUGACAAUUCCCAACCACGGAUCGUAGUGGAGACAGAGUAAAUGUUUUGAUUUGUUUUUGUUUCAUUCUGAAUAUGGUCAAUAUUUCUGUGAUUCUGAAUGCUAAGGUCAGAUUUAUAUUAUUUAAGCUUAAAUUGAUAAAACAAUAAUGCAGAAAAUAAUAACUGUAUCAUUGCUUUUUUAAAAGAAAGUCAUCAGAACUUGCAGUAAUCUUGGCACCAUGAUUUUUAUAUGCCAUGUGUUUAAUACUGUUGCUGUUAAAACAAAUGAAGUAUGAGUCCUAAUAUUUCUUUGCCAUUUAAAAAUAGUGAUUGAGAAUAGUGAUUGAGGAGAAGCUUUGUUCAAGAUCUAUGGCAAAAUGGAAGACAUUGUUGGUCAGUGAUGAGAGACUGGGAGAGGCUAAUAUCAAGGUAGGAAUAUUUCAAGAUUUGUUAUCACCGCACUGAUUCCUCUAUCAAAAAUACUGAAUAACUCAGGCCAUGUCUCUCAAACAUCAGAAAAAUCUUCCAACUAUUCUACCUCCUUUACAUGGGCAAUCUGAAGCUGUGUGGAAAAACACCAGCUGAAAUAGAAUCGCAAGUUAACAUUGUCCGUAUAUACAGCCGAGAUAUUGCAGUAGAGUUUGGACUGGACAAAUGUGCCACCCUCACCAUCAAACAAAGAAAAAUAGUGAAAACUGAAGGAAUCAAGAUGCCCUGUGGAAACGACAUCAAGAGUCUGGAUGAAGAUGAUCACUAUAAAUAUGUGAGCAUCCUUCAAGGUGAUAACAUCAAGCAUUCUGAAUUCAAGGAAAAGGUUGGAAGUAAAUACAUCAAAAGAGUGAAGAAGAUCCCAAAGUCCAAACUCAGUGGAGGAAAUACUAUCGAAGCGAUCAGCCUCUGGGCAAUUCCCAUCAUUAGAUACAAAGCUGGAACAGUGGACUGGACUCAAGCAGGCCCUGAAUGGGAAGACCAGAAAAAUAUGACAACAAAUCAUGCCCUUCAUCCAGGCAGCAAUGAUGACAGACUCUACUUACGAAGGAAAAUGGGUGGAUGUGGAAUGUUGCAAGCACACCAAAGGUUAAAGAAAACAAAAAAGGCACUUAAGAAUAUCUGAAGGACAAUGAAGAACUAAGAUAAUAUAAUAUGAAGGCUUACUGAUGCAUACAAAAUCAGUAAGCUAACCAUAAUAAAAAAAGUAUUUUGACUUUAAAAAUAUUUUUGGUUCAAUUCAAAGCAGCAAACAUACCUAAUACUUCUAUUUUCCCCACAGCAACACCCCUGUCAGGUGGGUUGGGCUGAGAAAGUGACUCUGUCCUGAUCCUGUCCAAAGUCACCCUGCUAUAAAUUGCAUGUUAACAAAAAGGGGAUAAAGCUUUUGCACCCGACAUCUGACUUUUUUUUUGUCACCUUAGACUGCAAAAUUCCAUUUGACUGGACUGUUCCUUUAGAGAUCAAAGCCUUCUUCUUUGAUACCUCUCCUAGAAAAAGUAUACCUCCGUCCCCUUUUCUGUGAACACAAUGUUCCUAUUUGUAAAGGAUUAAACUGGCAUAAACCUAUUGUCAUGUGAGACAGGACUAAAGUUAUGUCAGUUUUGAACAGGUGCUUCCCAAUCCCUCGUUUAGUGACUGACUCAUUUAGCAAUUCAUUC
Long non-coding RNA from Crotalus tigris (Tiger rattlesnake), 6169 nucleotides. RefSeq lists it as uncharacterized. The record is from RefSeq and is a predicted model, not a curated record. The transcript has 3 exons. NCBI's taxonomy places the organism in Eukaryota, Metazoa, Chordata, Lepidosauria, Squamata, Viperidae.